This 349-nucleotide ribosomal RNA is filed under the name uncultured Methanosaeta sp. RNAcentral describes it as "bacterial SSU rRNA". It matches the Rfam family "Archaeal small subunit ribosomal RNA", at positions 991 to 1338 of the family's 1478-position model. The record is from RNAcentral. Lineage: Archaea; Methanobacteriati; Methanobacteriota; Methanomicrobia; Methanotrichales; Methanotrichaceae.
UGCGAUGGCCGUCGUCAGUUCGUACUGUGAAGCAUCCUGUUAAGUCAGGCAACGAGCGAGACCCACGCCCACAGUUGCCAGCGUACUCUCCGGAGUGACGGGUACACUGUGGGGACCGCCGCUGCUAAAGCGGAGGAAGGAAUGGGCAACGGUAGGUCAGUAUGCCCCGAAUAUCCCGGGCUACACGCGAGCUACAAUGGUUGGUACAAUGGGUAUCUACCCCGAAAGGGGACGGAAAUCUCCUAAAACCAAUCUUAGUUCGGAUUGAGGGCUGCAACUCGCCCUCAUGAAGCUGGAAUCCGUAGUAAUCGCGUUUCAACAGAACGCGGUGAAUACGUCCCUGCUCCUU